CAAGUCGAACGAUGAACCUGGAGCUUGCUCUAGGGAAUUAGUGGCGAACGGGUGAGUAACACGUGAGUAACCUGCCCUUGACUCUGGGAUAACCUCCGGAAACGGAAGCUAAUACCGGAUAUGACGCACGGAGGCAUCUCCUGUGCGUGGAAAGAACUUCGGUCAAGGAUGGACUCGCGGCCUAUCAGGUAGUUGGUGAGGUAACGGCUCACCAAGCCUACGACGGGUAGCCGGCCUGAGAGGGUGACCGGCCACACUGGGACUGAGACACGGCCCAGACUCCUACGGGAGGCAGCAGUGGGGAAUAUUGCACAAUGGGCGCAAGCCUGAUGCAGCAACGCCGCGUGAGGGACGACGGCCUUCGGGUUGUAAACCUCUUUUAGUAGGGAAGAAGCGAAAGUGACGGUACCUGCAGAAAAAGCACCGGCUAACUACGUGCCAGCAGCCGCGGUAAUACGUAGGGUGCGAGCGUUGUCCGGAAUUAUUGGGCGUAAAGAGCUCGUAGGCGGUCUGUCGCGUCUGCUGUGAAAACCCGAGGCUCAACCUCGGGCCUGCAGUGGGUACGGGCAGACUAGAGUGCGGUAGGGGAGAAUGGAAUUCCUGGUGUAGCGGUGGAAUGCGCAGAUAUCAGGAGGAACACCGAUGGCGAAGGCAGUUCUCUGGGCCGUAACUGACGCUGAGGAGCGAAAGCGUGGGGAGCGAACAGGAUUAGAUACCCUGG
This 721-nucleotide ribosomal RNA is filed under the name Leifsonia shinshuensis. RNAcentral's name for it is "bacterial SSU rRNA". It matches the Rfam family "Bacterial small subunit ribosomal RNA", at positions 58 to 790 of the family's 1533-position model. The record is from RNAcentral. Lineage: Bacteria; Bacillati; Actinomycetota; Actinomycetes; Micrococcales; Microbacteriaceae.